RNAcentral lists this ribosomal RNA (457 nucleotides) under uncultured Spirochaeta sp. Its description in RNAcentral is "bacterial SSU rRNA". It matches the Rfam family "Bacterial small subunit ribosomal RNA", at positions 925 to 1382 of the family's 1533-position model. Lineage: Bacteria; Pseudomonadati; Spirochaetota; Spirochaetia; Spirochaetales; Spirochaetaceae. The record is from RNAcentral.
ACAAGCGGUGGAGCAUGUGGUUUAAUUCGAUGGUACGCGAGAAACCUUACCAGGGCUUGACAUACGCUGGAAGCGGUCCGAAAGGAUCGUGCCGCUUGCGGCCGGCGUACAGGUGCUGCAUGGCUGUCGUCAGCUCGUGCUGUGAAGUGUUGGGUUAAGUCCCGCAACGAGCCGCAACCCCUGCUGUCUGUUGCCACCACGAGAGGUGGGGACUCAGGCGGAACUGCCGGUGACAAACCGGAGGAAGGUGGGGACGACGUCAAGUCAUCAUGGCCCUUAUGUCCUGGGCUACACACGUGCUACAAUGGCCGGUACAGAGCGCAGCGAGGCCGCGAGGCGGAGCGAAUCGCUUAAAGCCGGUCCCAGUACGGAUUGGAGUCUGCAACCCGACUCCAUGAAGUUGGAAUCGCUAGUAAUCGCGCAUCAGCAUGGCGCGGUGAAUACGUUCCCGGGCCUU